ACAAUAUUUUAUUUAAUAUUCUUUUCUACUAACUCAUUCAGAGCUCUCUGGACUGUCUUCAUGCUGUGUCAUUUGCAAGGUUGCCUGCUGCAUGUUUGGUUAUAAAUGAGGUCAAAUCCCAAUUUUGCAGGAGGAUGUGGAUGUAUGCCCAUUCCCUUCGCGCUGUGAGCCAGUAGCCAUGGGAACUGCGAUAAAGUACACAAUUACUCCUCCAUGAACAAAUCCUCAGGGAACAAAGUUCAUUUGAAUGAAGCUGGCUUGACCACAGAUGAAUCUGGGGGACUUUCUGAGCUUCUUGGCCUUUUGCCGCCUCCUUACUUUAAGCUGGCUCUGGAGGAAGAGGAAGUGGAGGUGUCCCAGCAGGCUCUCCCUGGAGGCCCAGGCCCCUCUGCUCCCCAUGGGCAACUGCCAGGCAGUGCACAACCUGCACCUGUGUCUGGCCCACCACCCACCUCUGGUCUGUGCCACUUUGAUCCUGCUGCUCCUUGGCCUCUCCGGCCUGGGCCUUGGCAACUUCCUCCUCACCCACAGGACUGGCCUGCGCAGCCCUGACAUUCCUCAGGACUGGGUCUCUUUUUUGAGAUCUUUUGGCCAGUUGACCCUGUGUCCCAGGAAUGGGACAGUCACAGGGAAGUGGCGAGGGUCUCACGUCGUGGGCUUACUGACCACCUUGAACUUUGGAGACAGUCCAGACAGGAACAAAACCCAGACAUUCCAGGCCACAGUCCUGGGUAGUCAGAUGGGAUUGAAAGGAUCUGCUGCAGGACAACUGGUCCUCAUCACAGCCAGGGUGACCACAGAAAGGACUGCAGGAACCUGCUUGUAUUUCAGUGCUGUUCCAGGAAUCCUGCCCUCCAGCCAGCCACCCAUAUCCUGCUCAGAGGAGGGGGCCGGAAAUGUCACCCUGAGCCCUAGAAUGGGUGAGGAGUGUGUUAGGGUCUGGAGUCACGAAGGCCUUGUGCUAACCAAGCUGCUCACUUCGGAGGAGCUGGCUCUGUGUGGCUCUAGGCUGCUGGUCUUGGGCUCCUUCCUGCUUCUCUUCUGUGGCCUCUGCUGUGUCACUGCUGUGUGCUUCCACCCGCGCCGGGAGUCCCACUGGUCUAGAACCCGGCUCUGAGGGCACUGGCCUAGUUCCCGACUCGUUUCUCAGAAAUAACUACUGUUGGCCUGGCACAGUGGCUCAUGCCUGUAAUCCCAGCACUUUGGGAGGCUGAGGCGGGCAGAUCAUGAGGUGUGAAUCAAUUUCUUUGGCCUUGGCUCUGAGUUGGAAAAGGUUUUAGAAAAAUUGAAAAGCUGGAAUGUGGGGGAAAAUAAAAGCUUUUUUGCCCA
Callithrix jacchus (white-tufted-ear marmoset) is the source of this 1329-nucleotide RNA transcript. It is a transcript of the gene named transmembrane protein 219, with no coding region annotated. NCBI's taxonomy places the organism in Eukaryota, Metazoa, Chordata, Mammalia, Primates, Cebidae. The record is from RefSeq and is a predicted model, not a curated record.